GGGUGCUAUACAUGCAAGUCGAGCGGACAGAUGGGAGCUUGCUCCCUGAUGUUAGCGGCGGACGGGUGAGUAACACGUGGGUAACCUGCCUGUAAGACUGGGAUAACUCCGGGAAACCGGGGCUAAUACCGGAUGGUUGUUUGAACCGCAUGGUUCAAACAUAAAAGGUGGCUUCGGCUACCACUUACAGAUGGACCCGCGGCGCAUUAGCUAGUUGGUGAGGUAACGGCUCACCAAGGCAACGAUGCGUAGCCGACCUGAGAGGGUGAUCGGCCACACUGGGACUGAGACACGGCCCAGACUCCUACGGGAGGCAGCAGUAGGGAAUCUUCCGCAAUGGACGAAAGUCUGACGGAGCAACGCCGCGUGAGUGAUGAAGGUUUUCGGAUCGUAAAGCUCUGUUGUUAGGGAAGAACAAGUACCGUUCGAAUAGGGCGGUACCUUGACGGUACCUAACCAGAAAGCCACGGCUAACUACGUGCCAGCAGCCGCGGUAAUACGUAGGUGGCAAGCGUUGUCCGGAAUUAUUGGGCGUAAAGGGCUCGCAGGCGGUUUCUUAAGUCUGAUGUGAAAGCCCCCGGCUCAACCGGGGAGGGUCAUUGGAAACUGGGGAACUUGAGUGCAGAAGAGGAGAGUGGAAUUCCACGUGUAGCGGUGAAAUGCGUAGAGAUGUGGAGGAACACCAGUGGCGAAGGCGACUCUCUGGUCUGUAACUGACGCUGAGGAGCGAAAGCGG
This 736-nucleotide ribosomal RNA is filed under the name Bacillus subtilis. RNAcentral describes it as "bacterial SSU rRNA". It matches the Rfam family "Bacterial small subunit ribosomal RNA", at positions 44 to 762 of the family's 1533-position model. Lineage: Bacteria; Bacillati; Bacillota; Bacilli; Caryophanales; Bacillaceae. The record is from RNAcentral.